RNAcentral lists this ribosomal RNA (462 nucleotides) under uncultured bacterium. RNAcentral describes it as "partial 16S ribosomal RNA". It matches the Rfam family "Bacterial small subunit ribosomal RNA", at positions 28 to 507 of the family's 1533-position model. The record is from RNAcentral.
GACGAACGCUGGCGGCGUGCUUAACACAUGCAAGUCGAGCGGAAAGGCCCUUCGGGGUACUCGAGCGGCGAACGGGUGAGUAACACGUGAGUAACCUGCCCCAGACUUUGGGAUAACCCUCGGAAACGGGGGCUAAUACCGGAUACGACACAGCUUCGCAUGGGGUCUGUGUGGAAAGUUUUUCGGCUUGGGAUGGGCUCGCGGCCUAUCAGCUUGUUGGUGGGGUGAUGGCCUACCAAGGCGACGACGGGUAGCCGGCCUGAGAGGGCGACCGGCCACACUGGGACUGAGACACGGCCCAGACUCCUACGGGAGGCAGCAGUGGGGAAUAUUGCACAAUGGGCGGAAGCCUGAUGCAGCGACGCCGCGUGAGGGAUGACGGCCUUCGGGUUGUAAACCUCUUUCAGCAGGGACGAAGCGUAAGUGACGGUACCUGCAGAAGAAGCGCCGGCCAACUACGUG